RNAcentral lists this ribosomal RNA (924 nucleotides) under uncultured bacterium. RNAcentral describes it as "bacterial SSU rRNA". It matches the Rfam family "Bacterial small subunit ribosomal RNA", at positions 11 to 931 of the family's 1533-position model. The record is from RNAcentral.
GUUUGAUCCUGGCUCAGAUUGAACGCUGGCGGCAUGCCUUACACAUGCAAGUCGAACGGCAGCACGGAGCUUGCUCUGGUGGCGAGUGGCGAACGGGUGAGUAAUAUAUCGGAACGUACCCUGGAGUGGGGGAUAACGUAGCGAAAGUUACGCUAAUACCGCAUACGAUCUAAGGAUGAAAGUGGGGGAUUCGUAAGAACCUCAUGCUCCUGGAGCGGCCGAUAUCUGAUUAGCUAGUUGGUAGGGUAAAAGCCUACCAAGGCAUCGAUCAGUAGCUGGUCUGAGAGGACGACCAGCCACACUGGAACUGAGACACGGUCCAGACUCCUACGGGAGGCAGCAGUGGGGAAUUUUGGACAAUGGGGGCAACCCUGAUCCAGCAAUGCCGCGUGAGUGAAGAAGGCCUUCGGGUUGUAAAGCUCUUUUGUCAGGGAAGAAACGGUGUGAGCUAAUAUCUCAUGCUAAUGACGGUACCUGAAGAAUAAGCACCGGCUAACUACGUGCCAGCAGCCGCGGUAAUACGUAGGGUGCAAGCGUUAAUCGGAAUUACUGGGCGUAAAGCGUGCGCAGGCGGUUUUGUAAGACUGUCGUGAAAUCCCCGGGCUCAACCUGGGAAUGGCGAUGGUGACUGCAAGGCUAGAGUUUGGCAGAGGGGGGUAGAAUUCCACGUGUAGCAGUGAAAUGCGUAGAUAUGUGGAGGAACACCGAUGGCGAAGGCAGCCCCCUGGGUCAAAACUGACGCUCAUGCACGAAAGCGUGGGGAGCAAACAGGAUUAGAUACCCUGGUAGUCCACGCCCUAAACGAUGUCUACUAGUUGUCGGGUUUUAAUUAACUUGGUAACGCAGCUAACGCGUGAAGUAGACCGCCUGGGGAGUACGGUCGCAAGAUUAAAACUCAAGGAAUUGACGGGACCCGCACAAGCG